AGUAACACGUGGGUAACCUGCCUUAUAGUGGGGGGUAGCCUUUCGAAAGGAAGAUUAAUACCGCAUAAGAUUGUAGUAUCGCAUGAUAUAGCAAUUAAAGGAGCAAUCCGCUAUAAGAUGGACCCGCGUCGCAUUAGCUAGUUGGUGAGGUAAUGGCUCACCAAGGCGACGAUGCGUAGCCGACCUGAGAGGGUGAUCGGCCACAUUGGGACUGAGACACGGCCCAGACUCCUACGGGAGGCAGCAUG
This 248-nucleotide ribosomal RNA is filed under the name uncultured bacterium. Its description in RNAcentral is "partial 16S ribosomal RNA". It matches the Rfam family "Bacterial small subunit ribosomal RNA", at positions 109 to 353 of the family's 1533-position model. The record is from RNAcentral.